ACUACUGGGUGUUUAACGUAAAGACUGAAACAUAGUGAUCUGAGGGACACAUGCAUCCCAAUGUUUAUAACAGUAAUGUCCACACUAGUCAAACAAUGGAAAGAGACCAGAUGUCUACAGACAGAUGAAUGGAUAAAGAAGAUGUGGUAAACACACACAAUGGAAUAAUAUG
Long non-coding RNA from Lutra lutra (Eurasian river otter), 172 nucleotides. RefSeq lists it as uncharacterized. The record is from RefSeq and is a predicted model, not a curated record. Lineage: Eukaryota; Metazoa; Chordata; Mammalia; Carnivora; Mustelidae. The transcript has 5 exons.